Carassius auratus (goldfish) is the source of this 228-nucleotide long non-coding RNA. RefSeq lists it as uncharacterized. The record is from RefSeq and is a predicted model, not a curated record. NCBI's taxonomy places the organism in Eukaryota, Metazoa, Chordata, Actinopteri, Cypriniformes, Cyprinidae. The transcript is spliced from 3 exons.
AGGGGAAAAGCAGACCUGAAAGUAACGUCUGCUCCUGAUUACCGUGGGGAUCAGACCGGUCCUGGAACUGGAGAGGGGCGUCCUGGGUUCCCACUGUUUGAGCCGCUCAGAAGAUUUCUUUAUUAGAAAGAUAUCCCUCCAUGGAGACCCCUCACAGGAACCUUUUUGUUCAACUUGGACAUCAAUAUGUUACCUAAUAAAAUAAAAUAAAAAUAUGCUCAUUAUUAA